UCCAGACUCCUACGGGAGGCAGCAGUGGGGGAUAUUGCACAAUGGGGGGAACCCUGAUGCAGCGACGCCGCGUGGGUGAAGGAGCGUUUCGGCGCGUAAAGCCCUCUCGGCAGGGAAGAAGGAGGACGGUACCUGACUAAGAAGCCCCGGCUAACUACGUGCCAGCAGCCGCGGUAAUACGUAGGGGGCAAGCGUUAUCCGGAUUUACUGGGUGUAAAGGGGGCGCAGACGGCGAUGCAAGCCAGGAGUGAAAGCCCGGGGCCCAACCCCGGGACUGCUCUUGGAACUGCGUGGCUGGAGUGCAGGAGGGGCAGGCGGAAUUCCUGGUGUAGCGGUGAAAUGCGUAGAUAUCAGGAGGAACGCCGGUGGCGAAGGCGGCCUGCUGGACUGCAACUGACGUUGAGGCCCGAAAGCGUGGGGAGCAAACAGGAUUAGAUACCCCGGUAAAA
RNAcentral lists this ribosomal RNA (449 nucleotides) under uncultured bacterium. Its description in RNAcentral is "partial 16S ribosomal RNA". It matches the Rfam family "Bacterial small subunit ribosomal RNA", at positions 330 to 793 of the family's 1533-position model. The record is from RNAcentral.